This 189-nucleotide ribosomal RNA is filed under the name uncultured bacterium. Its description in RNAcentral is "partial 16S ribosomal RNA". It matches the Rfam family "Bacterial small subunit ribosomal RNA", at positions 338 to 524 of the family's 1533-position model. The record is from RNAcentral.
CCUACGGGAGGCAGCAGUAAGGAAUAUUGGUCAAUGGGCGCAAGCCUGAACCAGCCAUGCCGCGUGCAGGAAGACGGCCCUAUGGGUUGUAAACUGCUUUUCCAGGGGGUGAAACUCCCGUACGUGUACGGGACUGACGGUACCUUGGGAAUAAGCAUCGGCUAACUCCGUGCCAGCAGGCGCGGUAAU